AUUGAACGCUGGCGGCAGGCCUAACACAUGCAAGUCGAGCGGAUGAAGGGAGCUUGCUCCUGGAUUCAGCGGCGGACGGGUGAGUAAUGCCUAGGAAUCUGCCUGGUAGUGGGGGAUAACGUCCGGAAACGGGCGCUAAUACCGCAUACGUCCUGAGGGAGAAAGUGGGGGAUCUUCGGACCUCACGCUAUCAGAUGAGCCUAGGUCGGAUUAGCUAGUUGGUGGGGUAAAGGCCUACCAAGGCGACGAUCCGUAACUGGUCUGAGAGGAUGAUCAGUCACACUGGAACUGAGACAAGGUCCAGACUCCUACGGGAGGCAGCAGUGGGGAAUAUUGGACAGUGGGCGGAAGCCUGAUCCAGCCAUGCGGCGUGUGUGAAGACGGUCUUCGGAUUGUAAAGCACUUUAAGUUGGGAGGAAGGGCAGUAAGUUAAUACCUUGCUGUUUUGACGUUACCUGCAGAAUAAGCACCGGCUAACUUCGUG
RNAcentral lists this ribosomal RNA (484 nucleotides) under uncultured bacterium. RNAcentral describes it as "partial 16S ribosomal RNA". It matches the Rfam family "Bacterial small subunit ribosomal RNA", at positions 30 to 507 of the family's 1533-position model. The record is from RNAcentral.